AAUCAACGCUGGCGGCGUGCCUAACACAUGCAAGUCGAGCGCGAAAGGGGAGCAAUCCCCAAGUAGAGCGGCGAACGGGUGAGUAACGCGUGGGUAAUCUGCCUCCGAGUGGGGAACAACACCGGGAAACUGAUGCUAAUACCGCAUGACAUCGUUGGACCUUCGGAUCUGACGAUCAAAGCCGGGGACCGCAAGGCCUGGCGCUUGGAGAGGAGCCCGCGUCCGAUUAGCUAGUUGGUGGGGUAAUGGCCCACCAAGGCGACGAUCGGUAGCCGGCCUGAGAGGGCGGACGGCCACACUGGGACUGAGACACGGCCCAGACUCCCUACGGGAGGCAGCAGUGGGGAAUCUUGCGCAAUGGGCGAAAAGCCUGACGCAGCGACGCCGCGUGAGGGAUGACGG
Molecule: ribosomal RNA, 402 nt
Filed under: uncultured bacterium
Lineage: Bacteria
Description: bacterial SSU rRNA
Rfam family: Bacterial small subunit ribosomal RNA
Source: RNAcentral